RNAcentral lists this transfer RNA (87 nucleotides) under Holdemania filiformis. RNAcentral's name for it is "tRNA-Leu". It matches the Rfam family "tRNA". From Rfam's summary of the family: Transfer RNA (tRNA) molecules are approximately 80 nucleotides in length. Their secondary structure includes four short double-helical elements and three loops (D, anti-codon, and T loops). Further hydrogen bonds mediate the characteristic L-shaped molecular structure. tRNAs have two regions of fundamental functional importance: the anti-codon, which is responsible for specific mRNA codon recognition, and the 3' end, to which the tRNAs corresponding amino acid is attached (by aminoacyl-tRNA synthetases). tRNAs cope with the degeneracy of the genetic code in two manners: having more than one tRNA (with a specific anti-codon) for a particular amino acid; and 'wobble' base-pairing, i.e. permitting non-standard base-pairing at the 3rd anti-codon position. The record is from RNAcentral. RNAcentral also lists the same sequence under 2 other names. Lineage: Bacteria; Bacillati; Bacillota; Erysipelotrichia; Erysipelotrichales; Erysipelotrichaceae.
GGGGAUGUGGCGGAAUCGGUAGACGCAUCGGACUUAAAAUCCGGUGAUGGAAACAUCGUACGGGUUCGAGUCCCGUCAUCCCCACCA